This 699-nucleotide ribosomal RNA is filed under the name uncultured bacterium. RNAcentral describes it as "bacterial SSU rRNA". It matches the Rfam family "Bacterial small subunit ribosomal RNA", at positions 8 to 743 of the family's 1533-position model. The record is from RNAcentral.
AGAGUUUGAUCCUGGCUCAGAACGAACGCUGGCGGCAGGCCUAACACAUGCAAGUCGAGCGCUUUAACCACUUCGGUGGAGCGAGAGCGGCGGACGGGUGAGUAACGCGUGGGAAUAUGCCCUUCACUGCGGAAUAGCCUCGGGAAACUGAGAGUAAUACCGCAUACGCCCUUCGGGGGAAAGAUUUAUCGGUGAAGGAUUAGCCCGCGUUGGAUUAGGUAGUUGGUGGGGUAAAAGCCUACCAAGCCGACGAUCCAUAGCUGGUUUGAGAGGAUGAUCAGCCACACUGGGACUGAGACACGGCCCAGACUCCUACGGGAGGCAGCAGUGGGGAAUCUUAGACAAUGGGGGAAACCCUGAUCUAGCCAUGCCGCGUGAGUGACGAAGGCCUUGGGGUCGUAAAGCUCUUUCGCCAGGGAAGAUAAUGACGGUACCUGGUAAAGAAACCCCGGCUAACUCCGUGCCAGCAGCCGCGGUAAUACGGAGGGGGUUAGCGUUGUUCGGAAUUACUGGGCGUAAAGCGCGCGUAGGCGGACUAUUAAGUUAGGGGUGAAAUCCCAGGGCUCAACCCUGGAACUGCCUCUAAUACUGGUAGUCUUGAGUUCGAGAGAGGUGAGUGGAAUUCCGAGUGUAGAGGUGAAAUUCGUAGAUAUUCGGAGGAACACCAGUGGCGAAGGCGGCUCACUGGCUCGAUACUGA